CAGCUAGUUGGUGGGGUAAUGGCUCACCAAGGCGACGAUCGGUAGCCGGCCUAAGAGGGCGGACGGCCACACUGGGACUGAGACACGGCCCAGACUCCUACGGGAGGCAGCAGUGGGGAAUUGUUCGCAAUGGGCGCAAGCCUGACGACGCAACGCCGCGUGGAGGACGAAGAUCUUCGGGUCGUAAACUCCUGUCGAGUGGGACGAAUAGCCCGCGGGGUAAUAUCCUGCGGGAAUGACGGUACCACUAAAGGAAGCCCCGGCUAACUCCGUGCCAGCAGCCGCGGUAAUACGGGGGGGGCAAGCGUUGUUCGGAAUUACUGGGCGUAAAGGGCUCGUAGGCGGCCAACUAAGUCGGACGUGAAAUCCCUCGGCUCAACCGGGGAACUGCGUCCGAUACUGGUUGGCUUGAAUCCGGGAGAGGGAUGCGGAAUUCCAGGUGUAGCGGUGAAAUGCGUAGAUAUCUGGAGGAACACCGGUGGCGAAGGCGGCAUCCUGGACC
This 502-nucleotide ribosomal RNA is filed under the name uncultured Acidobacteriota bacterium. Its description in RNAcentral is "SSU rRNA". It matches the Rfam family "Bacterial small subunit ribosomal RNA", at positions 242 to 735 of the family's 1533-position model. The record is from RNAcentral. Lineage: Bacteria; Pseudomonadati; Acidobacteriota.